GAGAUGAGUUUUCCCUGGCACUAUAAGUGUCCUAAAGGGUUGUCGUAGACUACGACGUUGAUAGGCAGGGUGUGUAAGUGCUGCGAGGCAUUGAGCUAACCUGUACUAAUUGCCCGUGAGGCUUAACCAUACAACACCCAAGGGGUUU
RNAcentral lists this ribosomal RNA (148 nucleotides) under Vibrio lentus. Its description in RNAcentral is "partial 23S ribosomal RNA". The stretch from base 1 to 130 matches the Rfam family "Bacterial large subunit ribosomal RNA", at positions 2801 to 2925 of the family's 2925-position model. Lineage: Bacteria; Pseudomonadati; Pseudomonadota; Gammaproteobacteria; Vibrionales; Vibrionaceae. The record is from RNAcentral.